AACGAACGCUAGCGGUGUGGAUUAGGCAUGCAAGUCGCGCGCGAAAGCCUUCGGGCGGGUAAAGCGGCGAAAGGGUGAGUAACACGUAACCAACGUACCCCUCAGACUGGGAUAACCACUGGAAACGGUGGAUAAUACCGGAUGGUCCACUGGGCAGCAUUGCCUGGCUGGUAAACGGCGGCCGCAAGGCGGUUGCUGAGGGAGCGGGUUGCGGCCUAUCAGCUUGUUGGUGAGGUAACGGCUCACCAAGGCUAUGACGGGUAACAGGUCUGAGAGGAUGAUCUGUCACACUGGGACUGAGACACUGCCCAGACUCCUACGGGAGGCUGCAGUCGAGAAUCUUCCACAAUGGGCGAAAGCCUGAUGGAGCGACACCGCGUGCAGGAUGAAGGCC
Molecule: ribosomal RNA, 394 nt
Filed under: uncultured bacterium
Lineage: Bacteria
Description: bacterial SSU rRNA
Rfam family: Bacterial small subunit ribosomal RNA
Source: RNAcentral